UGAGUACUCACUGCGUCCCAAUUUUUUUGUUUUAGAUUUAUAUAGAUAUGAAUGUAUCUAGAUACAUUCAUUUCUAGACAAACCUAAGAUAAAAUUUUUGGGACGAAGGAAGUACUUG
Molecule: microRNA precursor, 118 nt
Filed under: Hordeum vulgare
Lineage: Eukaryota; Viridiplantae; Streptophyta; Magnoliopsida; Poales; Poaceae
Description: microRNA MIR1122
Rfam family: MIR1120/MIR1122 microRNA precursor family
Source: RNAcentral